RNAcentral lists this long non-coding RNA (341 nucleotides) under Salmo salar (Atlantic salmon). RNAcentral describes it as "lncRNA (ENSSSAG00000102392.1)". The record is from RNAcentral. Lineage: Eukaryota; Metazoa; Chordata; Actinopteri; Salmoniformes; Salmonidae.
UCCACGCUUCAAGAUUGCUUCAAUCACGUGGACUGGGAUAUGUUCCAGGACCUGAGCCCUAGGACCAUGCCUCAGGACUACCUGGCAUGAUGACUCCUUGCUGUCCCCAGUCCACCUGGCUGUGCUGCUGCUCCAGUUUGAACUGUUCUGCCUGCGGCUAUGGAACCCUGACCUGCUCACCGGACGUGCUACCUGUCCCAGACCUGCUGUUUUCAACUCUCUAGCGACAGCAGGAGCGGUAGAGAUACUCUCAAAGAUCGGCUAUGAAAAAGCCAACUGACACUUACUCUUGUGUUGCUGACUUGUUGCACCCUCGACAACUACUAUGAUUAUUAUUAUUU